Molecule: ribosomal RNA, 392 nt
Filed under: uncultured bacterium
Lineage: Bacteria
Description: bacterial SSU rRNA
Rfam family: Bacterial small subunit ribosomal RNA
Source: RNAcentral
AUUGAACGCUGGCGGCAUGCCUUACACAUGCAAGUCGAACGGCAGCACGGGAGCUUGCUCCUGGUGGCGAGUGGCGAACGGGUGAGUAAUAUAUCGGAACGUACCCUAGAGUGGGGGAUAACGCAGCGAAAGUUGCGCUAAUACCGCAUACGAUCUACGGAUGAAAGUGGGGGAUCGCAAGACCUCAUGCUCAUGGAGCGGCCGAUAUCUGAUUAGCUAGUUGGUGGGGUAAAGGCCUACCAAGGCAUCGAUCAGUAGCUGGUCUGAGAGGACGACCAGCCACACUGGAACUGAGACACGGUCCAGACUCUACGGAGGCAGCAGUGGGGAAUUUUGGACAAUGGGGGCAACCCUGAUCCAGCAAUGCCGCGUGAGUGAAGAAGGCUCGGUUG